UAGGGAAUCUUCGGCAAUGGGGGGAACCCUGACCGAGCAACGCCGCGUGAGUGAAGAAGGUUUUCGGAUCGUAAAGCUCUGUUGUUAAGGAAGAACGAGUGUGAGAAUGGAAAGUUCAUACUGUGACGGUACUUAACCAGAAAGGGACGGCUAACUACGUGCCAGCAGCCGCGGUAAUACGUAGGUCCCGAGCGUUGUCCGGAUUUAUUGGGCGUAAAGCGAGCGCAGGCGGUUAGAUAAGUCUGAAGUUAAAGGCAGUGGCUCAACCAUUGUAGGCUUUGGAAACUGUUUAACUUGAGUGCAGAAGGGGAGAGUGGAAUUCUAUGUGUAGCGGUGAAAUGCGUAGAUAUAUGGAGGAACACCGGUGGCGAAAGCGGCUCUCUGGUCUGUAACUGACGCUGAGGCUCGAAAGCGUGGGGAGCGAACAGGAUUAGAUACCCUGGUAGUCCACGCCGUAACGAUGAGUGCUAGGUGUUAGGUCCUUUCCGGGACUUAGUGCCGCAGCUAACGCAUUAAGCACUCCGCCUGGGGAGUACGACCGCAAGGUUG
This 549-nucleotide ribosomal RNA is filed under the name uncultured bacterium. RNAcentral describes it as "bacterial SSU rRNA". It matches the Rfam family "Bacterial small subunit ribosomal RNA", at positions 355 to 896 of the family's 1533-position model. The record is from RNAcentral.